AUUGAACGUUGGCGGCAUGCCUUACACAUGCAAGUCGAACGGCAGCACGGGAGCAAUCCUGGUGGCGAGUGGCGAACGGGUGAGUAAAGUAUCGGAACGUGCCCAGUCGUGGGGGAUAACGUAGCGAAAGUUACGCUAAUACCGCAUACGAGCUAUGGAUGAAAGCGGGGGAUCGCAGGACCUCGCGCGAUUGGAGCGGCCGAUAUCAGAUUAGGUAGUUGGUGGGGUAAAGGCUCACCAAGCCGACGAUCUGUAGCUGGUCUGAGAGGACGACCAGCCACACUGGGACUGAGACACGGCCCAGACUCCUACGGGAGGCAGCAGUGGGGAAUUUUGGACAAUGGGCGAAAGCCUGAUCCAGCCAUGCCGCGUGCAGGAUGAAGGCCUUCGGGUUGUAAACUGCUUUUGUACGGAACGAAAAGGUUUGGCCUAAUAAGCUGAGCUCAUGACGGUACCGUAAGAAUAAGCACCGGCUAACUACGUGCCAGCCGCCGCCGUAA
This 500-nucleotide ribosomal RNA is filed under the name uncultured bacterium. RNAcentral describes it as "partial 16S ribosomal RNA". It matches the Rfam family "Bacterial small subunit ribosomal RNA", at positions 30 to 523 of the family's 1533-position model. The record is from RNAcentral.